UUGCAAAUCCAAAAGUUUUUUAAUUCCCUUUCUUACUCACCGAGAAAACCCUACUCUGCAACGAGAAUUGUUUGAACUCUGUCCACCAAAUUGACGUCUCCUUUUCAGACUCUUGAUUAUCUCUUUCGUUUUCCCCUUUCUCUUCUUCUUCGGUAGAGACAGCCACCAUGUUCUUCCACAUAGUGUUGGAAAGGAAUAUGCAGCUGCACCCUCGGCACUUCGGUCGUAACCUCCGUGAGAAUCUGGUUUCCAAACUCAUGAAAGAUGUCGAGGGGACUUGCAGCGGACGACAUGGUUUUGUAGUAGCAAUUACAGGAAUUGAGAAUAUUGGGAAGGGAUUGAUUCGUGACGGCACAGGUUUUGUCACUUUUCCUGUUAAAUACCAAUGUGUUGUUUUUCGACCAUUCAAGGGAGAAAUCUUAGAAGCAGUUGUUUCAAUGGUAAACAAGAUGGGUUUUUUCGCUGAAGCUGGACCUGUUCAGAUUUUUGUUUCAAACCAUUUGAUACCAGAUGAUAUGGAGUUCCAGUCUGGAGAUAUCCCAAACUACACCACUUCAGAUGGAUCAGUUAAGAUUCAGAAGGACAGUGAAGUUCGAUUAAAGAUUAUUGGGACUCGAGUAGACGCGACUGAAAUUUUUUGUAUUGGAACCAUAAAAGAUGACUUCUUGGGUGUGAUAAAUGAUCCUGCAGCAGCUUAGUGCAAUCUUGUUCAGGACAUUUUUCUUUGCGUUGGAGUUACCAGUUUGUAUCCUCUAUCCGCUAACCUUCUCAAACAAACUUCUUAUGACAUUUGUUUAGCUUGAUACAAGAACAAGGAGAUGAACUUGAUGCUGCCAACCAAGGAACCGGGGAAAGGAAGAUUGGAAUUAAGAAACAAUGGUUCUAGUUUUGAUUUCAUGAAUAUAGAUGAUGACGAGAAUGAGAUAAUGUAUAUGUUUCUCAAUUAUCCCCAGUAGUUUACAUCAUGAAGUCCAUUCUCUUUAUACCAUUCUCUUAUGAGGCUUUUUGUACAUCAUCAAGAGAGCGAAUUCGACUCGCGUGCGAUCAGCCAAUAGAUUUGGCCACAGAAGUCCAAAAUUGUUGGCAUGAGUAUAGUAUGAUGGGAUCAAGUUGUCUUUGUUCAUUGACUGACAUCGUCAGUAUCCCCUCGCUCGAUCUUAAAUUACCUCAUUGAAAGAAAAGUCCUUUCGCUUUA
Molecule: RNA transcript, 1195 nt
Organism: Momordica charantia (bitter melon)
Lineage: Eukaryota; Viridiplantae; Streptophyta; Magnoliopsida; Cucurbitales; Cucurbitaceae
Gene: NRPB7
Gene name: DNA-directed RNA polymerase II
Source: RefSeq, a predicted model, not a curated record